RNAcentral lists this long non-coding RNA (436 nucleotides) under Olea europaea subsp. europaea. The record is from RNAcentral. Lineage: Eukaryota; Viridiplantae; Streptophyta; Magnoliopsida; Lamiales; Oleaceae.
CUCAAGCAAGCACUAGUAGUAGCUCAGUACACCCACAUAUUUUCCGUCCCUGACGGUGUUGAAUCCCAAUUUAUCUCUUCACCGUGGCCAUUUCAGGCUUUCAGCGCCUUUUUUAUGAUUCUGGUGAUUGCAUUCUGCAUAUUGUUGGCGAAACUAUUUUAUGAAACCUUAACAUUACAUGAAAAUGAAACCUUGGAUUCGAAGGGAUGGACAUAUAUGUCUUUUUAUAGGGUUAUAAAGAUUGUAUUAUAUAGCUUGUGAUGCCGAAAAGUUGGCAGAUUCCAGAUUUUUGUACGCAGGAUAGUUGCCAACUGAAAGUUGAGAUAAUGAUCUUUUGGCAUGUGCUUCUUAUCUUGAAUUUUACCUUGUUUAAUCUUCUAUUAUAAAGUGAACAAAAUAAAUAAAUUAACUCAAUAAAAACCAUGAAGAAACUGGG